This 649-nucleotide long non-coding RNA is filed under the name Marmota monax (woodchuck). The record is from RNAcentral. Lineage: Eukaryota; Metazoa; Chordata; Mammalia; Rodentia; Sciuridae.
CCGCGAGAGGGGAGGGGCCCGCGCGCGCCUCCAGCCCCAGCCCCAGCCCCUACCUUCCUUCACUCCUGGCAGCUUGGACUGGUCAAUGCUGACCUCGGCCAUGUCGGGCCAGGGUCCUGGCUGCCCCUGGCCGCCCACUUCCCAGCCGCGCGGGCACCGAGCUGGCCCGGAGCUCACCAGCAGCGCCUAACGCGGCGCAAAGUCUGGCGGGCACAGUGCGCCGGCCGGGAGCCCGAGCCGGCCGGCCGGCAGACAGGGGUUGACGACAAAGACUGCGACGGCGGCCCAGCUGCCCCGCCGCAGCCACCUGCUCCGCGCCCCGCGGCCCUGAUCGAUACCAAAUACCAGGAGCCCGGAAAUGGACCCGGGAGGUCCAGUACGGAGGGAGAGAGGAGACAGAAAGGCGGGCAGGCGGGCGAGCGGGCGGGCGGGCCUGGGUGGGGAAGGGGGAGGGGAUCUGCAGGUCUGUAACUGCAAUAGCGAGUAGCUGGCGAGAGAAGAUCGGCUCCCGCCGCCGCCUCCAGUUGUCUCCUUUGUGCUCAGCUAAGCGCCUGAGGCUGGGGCCCUGCUGUGUCCUGGUCCCAGAGCCCUGCCCCGCCUCCUGCGGGAAGGUCGUGUCUUUAAGGUGGGGGCUUGAUAUUCUGAAGGC